GCAAUUGGAUAGCUCAGUUGGUUAGAGCAUGGUGCUGAUAACACCAAGGUUGCAGGUUUGAUCCUCGUAUGGGACAGCUGCA
This 82-nucleotide transfer RNA is filed under the name Podarcis lilfordi (Lilford's wall lizard). RNAcentral describes it as "tRNA.Ile". The stretch from base 10 to 68 matches the Rfam family "tRNA", at positions 8 to 63 of the family's 71-position model. Rfam says of the family: Transfer RNA (tRNA) molecules are approximately 80 nucleotides in length. Their secondary structure includes four short double-helical elements and three loops (D, anti-codon, and T loops). Lineage: Eukaryota; Metazoa; Chordata; Lepidosauria; Squamata; Lacertidae. The record is from RNAcentral.